Lolium rigidum is the source of this 836-nucleotide long non-coding RNA. RefSeq lists it as uncharacterized. The record is from RefSeq and is a predicted model, not a curated record. Lineage: Eukaryota; Viridiplantae; Streptophyta; Magnoliopsida; Poales; Poaceae. The transcript has 3 exons.
UUGUCCGUAGAGAUGGCGCGUGAGAACCGAAGGCGUCGUCGUGUUCGGAGGAGGCCUCAUCUUUUUGGUGUCCGACCUCCCGUUUUGAUAAAUGGUCGUCCAGCUAGAAUGUCUCGAGAUUAUAUUGCGUAUUUGAAAGCUUCUUUUCGUGGGAGGUUGUAUCUCGGUAGUCCUGAAUAUACAUGUACUUAUUGCAAGGCUUUUUUUGGUAUAAUGAGCGGGCUACUCAGUUGAGUAAGUUCCAUAAAAGGAAGAUGUUUACUAAUCGUUGCUGCAAGGGUGGUAGGGUAUGGUUGGAACCGUAUAGGCAGUGGCCGGCUCCUCUUGAUCGCUUGAUUGGGUUUGGUGAUGGAGCUGGGUCGUCUCAGUUCAUGCGGUUGAUCAGGUCUUACAAUAGCAUGUUUGCCUUUUCUUCUCUGGGGGUGAAGGUUGAUGAUAGUAUAAAUACGGGGCGGGGUCCUUAUGUUUUUCGUAUUAAUGGCCUUCCUUCGCAUCGUAUUGGUUCUCUGGUUCCCGCGCCUAAUAAAUCGCCGAAGUUUGCUCAGCUGUAUAUUUAUGAUACAGAUAAUGAAAUUGAUUAUCGAAUGGCUGUAUUUGAUGGUGAGGGUGGAAGUGGGGUUGAGGGGGGUAGUCGUGCCGCUCCUGAUCGGGAUAUUGUUGUUUCUCUUACUGCUAUGCUUGAUAGUUGUAAUGCGUUGGUCAGACAGUUUAGAAUGAUCCGCGUUUCUCGGGAGCGGGUUGAGCUUGCUGGUGCGCCGUUUAGGCUUCGAAUUGUUGGUUCAUCUUCGGAUGAUCCGAGGGUUUAUAGUCCUCCUACCGCUCCUGAGUUAGCGGCU